CCAACAGUUUCAGGAUUGUUGAGCUCCAUUGGCGGGAUUUCGCCGUCUUCGUUUCUCUUUCUUCGCGGACGAACACGCGCCAGGGGCUGAGCGCUGUGCGAUGCAUCGACUUCACGUCGGUUGCGCGCCGGCAUGUCUCUCGUGUUAGGGGCUUGUAGCUCAGUUGGUUAGAGCGCGCGCUUGAUAAGCGUGAGGUCGGAAGUUCAAGUCUUCCCAGGCCCACCAUUUUGAUCGAGUGCGGAGCAUUCGUCUUCUGGUACGGGGCCAUAGCUCAGCUGGGAGAGCGCGUGCUUUGCAAGCAUGAGGUCGUCGGUUCGAUCCCGUCUGGCUCCACCAGAUGGAAUUGAAGCUCGAGAAUGCCUCGUCAAAUUCGUCCGCGAAACAUCACUUCGCACUCAUUGGUCCGGAUGGACGGUGACGUGCGUGUUUUCUGACAUCGUAAAGAGGAGAUCGAUCCGAGUUUGGAUCUGCGAAGCAAUUCGCGGGUGCCAUUCCUAAUCUCCAGAUCGUUUUCGGCGCUCGUUCAUCGCAAGAUGAGCGAGUUGUAAAACGAUCUUUGUAGCGAAGCUUGACCGCCUCGCUAUCGGGCCGAUCUUACGAAGCAAGCUGGUCUUUCUAGUCAAUGUCCGGCUGUGCAAUCGCAUUCAUCGAGGAUGCGCGCCUGAGACUUCGGUCUUUAGGCAAUUACACAGACAACAUUCUGCCGAGUGUGUGGACAUUGAUAAUGAGAGCAAUCAAGUGCCUUAAGGGUGUUCGGUGGAUGCCUUGGCGCUGAGAGGCGAUGAAGGACGUGCUACGCUGCGAUAAGCC
This 810-nucleotide unclassified non-coding RNA is filed under the name Bradyrhizobium sp. CCBAU 51607. RNAcentral's name for it is "partial contains 16S-23S ribosomal RNA intergenic spacer, and 23S ribosomal RNA". The stretch from base 149 to 222 matches the Rfam family "tRNA". Lineage: Bacteria; Pseudomonadati; Pseudomonadota; Alphaproteobacteria; Hyphomicrobiales; Nitrobacteraceae. The record is from RNAcentral.